GAUGAACGCUGGCGGCGUGCCUAAUACAUGCAAGUCGAGCGAACAGACGAGGAGCUUGCUCCUCUGACGUUAGCGGCGGACGGGUGAGUAACACGUGGAUAACCUACCUAUAAGACUUGGAUAACUUCGGGAAACCGGAGCUAAUACCGGAUAAUAUCUUGAACCGCAUGGUUCAAUAGUGAAAGACGGUUUUGCUGUCACUUAUAGAUGGAUCCGCGCCGCAUUAGCUAGUUGGUAAGGUAACGGCUUACCAAGGCAACGAUGCGUAGCCGACCUGAGAGGGUGAUCGGCCACACUGGAACUGAGACACGGUCCAGACUCCUACGGGAGGCAGCAGUAGGGAAUCUUCCGCAAUGGGCGAAAGCUUGACGGAGCAAAGCCGCGUGAGUGAUGAAGGUCUUCGGAUCGUAAAACUCUGUUAUUAGGGAAGAACAAAUGUGUAAGUAACUAUGCACGUCUUGACGGUACCUAAUCAGAAAGCCACGGCUAACUACGUG
This 497-nucleotide ribosomal RNA is filed under the name uncultured bacterium. RNAcentral's name for it is "partial 16S ribosomal RNA". It matches the Rfam family "Bacterial small subunit ribosomal RNA", at positions 28 to 507 of the family's 1533-position model. The record is from RNAcentral.